CUAGCUACUGUCAUCCAUCCCUUUGUAGCUCUGACCUCCUCCGAUCUCCCAUCAUUGAUCGCACUCAAGUUGACCUCCUCCUUUGAUCUCCUACCUUUCGUCACAACCCCUUUCUUCACCAUUUCCUUCAUCUUUCGAACCACCACAUGCCCCACCGCAUGACAUCUCCCCUUCUUCCUUUCCUUUUCACCCUUCGACCCACCCUCACAGCCCCCACCCUCAUCGACCGGUCUCACAUCGUUUCCCCCUCGCACCCUCUAUAGACGCACUCCCAUAACCACCCCCAUCUGUGCUGCAUCCCUCAUCGCAACCAUCCUUUCCCCUACCACAUCCC
Molecule: long non-coding RNA, 334 nt
Filed under: Gossypium raimondii (Peruvian cotton)
Lineage: Eukaryota; Viridiplantae; Streptophyta; Magnoliopsida; Malvales; Malvaceae
Description: long non-coding RNA (GRAI_LNC008558)
Source: RNAcentral